This 253-nucleotide unclassified non-coding RNA is filed under the name uncultured Bryobacterales bacterium. Its description in RNAcentral is "contains 16S-23S intergenic spacer region". It matches the Rfam family "Bacterial small subunit ribosomal RNA", at positions 524 to 776 of the family's 1533-position model. The record is from RNAcentral. Lineage: Bacteria; Pseudomonadati; Acidobacteriota; Terriglobia; Bryobacterales.
UACAUAGGCUCCAAGCGUUGUUCGGAAUUACUGGGCGUAAAGCGAGUGUAGGCUGUUGGAUAAGUCGAUUGUGAAAUCUCCCGGCUCAACCGGGAGGGUGCGGUCGAAACUGUUCAACUCGAGUCCGAGAGGGGAGAGUGGAAUUCCUGGUGUAGCGGUGAAAUGCGUAGAUAUCAGGAGGAACACCGGUGGUGAAGACGGCUCUCUGGAUCGUGACUGACGCUGAGACUCGAAAGCGUGGGGAGCAAACAGG